ACUUAUAUAUUUCAAUUAGAAUAUUGCGUUGAAGUUGCAAGGGUGGCUAUUAGUCUGUAAGUG
RNAcentral lists this transfer RNA (63 nucleotides) under Euastacus armatus (Murray cray). RNAcentral's name for it is "tRNA-Phe". The record is from RNAcentral. Lineage: Eukaryota; Metazoa; Arthropoda; Malacostraca; Decapoda; Parastacidae.